This 497-nucleotide ribosomal RNA is filed under the name uncultured bacterium. Its description in RNAcentral is "partial 16S ribosomal RNA". It matches the Rfam family "Bacterial small subunit ribosomal RNA", at positions 28 to 507 of the family's 1533-position model. The record is from RNAcentral.
GAUGAACGCUGGCGGCGUGCCUAAUACAUGCAAGUCGAGCGAACAGACGAGGAGCUUGCUCCUCUGACGUUAGCGGCGGACGGGUGAGUAACACGUGGAUAACCUACCUAUAAGACUGGGAUAACUUCGGGAAACCGGAGCUAAUACCGGAUAAUAUAUUGAACCGCAUGGUUCAAUAGUGAAAGACGGUUUUGCUGUCACUUCUAGAUGGAUCCGCGCCGCAUUAGCUAGUUGGUAAGGUAACGGCUUACCAAGACAACGAUGCGUAGCCGACCUGAGAGGGUGAUCGGCCACACUGGAACUGAGACACGGUCCAGACUCCUACGGGAGGCAGCAGUAGGGAAUCUUCCGCAAUGGGCGAAAGCCUGACGGAGCAACGCCGCGUGAGUGAUGAAGGUCUUCGGAUCGUAAAACUCUGUUAUUAGGGAAGAACAAAUGUGUAAGUAACUAUGCACGUCUUGACGGUACCUAAUCAGAAAGCCACGGCUAACUACGUG